RNAcentral lists this unclassified non-coding RNA (305 nucleotides) under plant metagenome. RNAcentral's name for it is "partial contains 5.8S ribosomal RNA, internal transcribed spacer 2, and large subunit ribosomal RNA". The stretch from base 1 to 105 matches the Rfam family "5.8S ribosomal RNA", at positions 50 to 154 of the family's 154-position model. The record is from RNAcentral.
GAAAUGCGAUAAGUAAUGUGAAUUGCAGAAUUCAGUGAAUCAUCGAAUCUUUGAACGCACAUUGCGCCCGCCAGUAUUCUGGCGGGCAUACCUGUUCGAGCGUCAUUUCAACCAUCAAGCCCCGGGCUUGUGUUGGGGACCUGCGGCUGCCGCAGGCCCUGAAAACCAGUGGCGGGCUCGCUGUCACACCGAGCGUAGUAGAUUCUCAUCUCGCUCAGGGCGUGCUGCGGGUUCCGGCCGUAAAACAGCCUUAUUUUACCCAAGGUUGACCUCGGAUCAGGUAGGAAGACCCGCUGAACUUAAGC